UACGUAGGGUGCGAGCGUUGUCCGGAAUUACUGGGCGUAAAGAGUUCGUAGGCGGUUUGUCACGUCGUUUGUGAAAACUCACAGCUCAACUGUGAGCCUGCAGGCGAUACGGGCAGACUUGAGUACUGCAGGGGAGACUGGAAUUCCUGGUGUAGCGGUGAAAUGACGCAGAUAUCAGGAGGAACACCGGUGGCGAAGGCGGGGUCUCUGGGCAGUAAACUGACGCUGGAGG
Molecule: ribosomal RNA, 232 nt
Filed under: uncultured bacterium
Lineage: Bacteria
Description: partial 16S ribosomal RNA
Rfam family: Bacterial small subunit ribosomal RNA
Source: RNAcentral